Camellia sinensis is the source of this 596-nucleotide non-coding RNA. Lineage: Eukaryota; Viridiplantae; Streptophyta; Magnoliopsida; Ericales; Theaceae. The record is from RefSeq and is a predicted model, not a curated record.
CCUCAAUCUAAUGUUUACGAGGCUGAAACCAUGGUUGAAGGAACACUGGAUGGAUUCUCAUUUGAUUCUGAUGAUGACGCUGACAAGAUGCCUAAAACCGUCACUAAUUAGACUGAUCAAAAUGAGGGCAAUGGAGAGCAAUCCAACACAAAAACUAAAACAAAAGCUGAAAAAACAUUAGGGGUCGUGCGAAAAAGGAGUGGUAAAGCUGCAGGAGGAAAGCCACCCAAGAAAGUAAGAAAGAAAACCCAAGCUCCGAAGAACAGCAAGACUAAGAAAUGAGAGAUGCUACUGAAUGUGAUAAAUUGUGGUGUGUGGGCCGACAUCAAUUCUCAUUGGUGAAGGAAGAAGUAUGGUAACAACAAUUUAUAUUCCAUAAUUUGUAUUUUUUUAAUUUUUAAUUUUGACAUUUGUCGAAUUUGAAAAAGAGCAACAAGAAAUUGUUCAGCAUGCCCUCUUUUUCUGGAGGGUUGUUAAAUUAUACAUGAAUUGCAAAUCAGGUUAAAGUCUGGACUUGAGAAACAAAUUACACUGUUAAAUUGAAUGGUGUGGUGCCUAACUAUGUAAAUUACAAUGAAAGUGAAUAAUGGUGAAAA